GAUGAACGCUGGCGGCGUGCCUAAUACAUGCAAGUCGAGCGAACAGAUAAGGAGCUUGCUCCUUUGACGUUAGCGGCGGACGGGUGAGUUACACGUGGAUAACCUACCUAUAAGACUGGGAUAACUUCGGGAAACCGGAGCUAAUACCGGAUAACAUAUUGAACCGCAUGGUUCAAUAGUGAAAGGCGGCUUUGCUGUCACUUAUAGAUGGAUCCGCGCCGUAUUAGCUAGUUGGUAAGGUAACGGCUUACCAAGGCAACGAUACGUAGCCGACCUGAGAGGGUGAUCGGCCACACUGGAGCUGAGACACGGUCCAGACUACUACGGGAGGGAGCAGUAGGGAAUCUUACGCAGUGGGCGAAAGCCUGACGGAGCAACGCCGCGUGAGUGAUGAAGGUCUUCGGAUCGUAAAACUCUGUUAUCAGGGAAGAACAAAUGUGUAAGUAACUGUGCACAUCUUGACGGUACCUGAUCAGAAAGCCACGGCUAACUACGUG
Molecule: ribosomal RNA, 497 nt
Filed under: uncultured bacterium
Lineage: Bacteria
Description: partial 16S ribosomal RNA
Rfam family: Bacterial small subunit ribosomal RNA
Source: RNAcentral